Molecule: ribosomal RNA, 253 nt
Filed under: uncultured bacterium
Lineage: Bacteria
Description: partial 16S ribosomal RNA
Rfam family: Bacterial small subunit ribosomal RNA
Source: RNAcentral
UACGGGGGGGGCAAGCGUUGUUCGGAAUUACUGGGCGUAAAGGGCUCGUAGGUGGCCAACUAAGUCAGACGUGAAAUCCCUCGGCUUAACCGGGGAACUGCAUUUGAUACUGGAUGGCUUGAGAUUGGGAGAGGGAUGCGGAAUUCCUGGUGUAGCGGUGAAAUGCGCAGAUAUCAGGAGGAACACCGGUGGCGAAGGCGGGACUCUGGGCCGAUACUGACGCUGAGGAGCGAAAGCGUGGGGAGCGAACAGG